This is a non-coding RNA of Cenococcum geophilum 1.58, 147 nucleotides long. The record is from the annotation of a GenBank genome assembly. Lineage: Eukaryota; Fungi; Ascomycota; Dothideomycetes; Gloniales; Gloniaceae.
GCCUCUUUGGUGUAGUUGGUUAUCACGUGGGUGAGUGGCCAGCAAUCCUUAGUGGCCCCGAUAUUAAUAAUGUUAGGUCUCAUAUGUAAUAUGAUUUGGUCAUCCAAAGUAAUCCCAAGCUCGCCAGUGCAAAUCUGGCAAGGGGCA